GUCCGCACCGUAACGAUGAUUACUCGUUGUUGGCGAUAUGACAGUCAGCGACCAAGCGAAAGCGAUAAGUAAUCCACCUGGGGAGUACGCCGGCAACGGUGAACUCAAAGGAAUUGACGGGGCCCGCACAAGCGGAGGAGCAUGUGGUUUAAUUCGAUGAUACGCGAGGAACCUUACCUGGGCUUGAAAGUUAGUGACCGAUUCUGAAAGGAGUCUUUCCGCAAGGACACGAACUAGGUGCUGCAUGGCUGUCGU
This 255-nucleotide ribosomal RNA is filed under the name uncultured bacterium. RNAcentral's name for it is "partial 16S ribosomal RNA". It matches the Rfam family "Bacterial small subunit ribosomal RNA", at positions 793 to 1055 of the family's 1533-position model. The record is from RNAcentral.